ACAAAACCUAUGAAGUCCGUUGAUUUUAUUACAUGGUGCAACAAAGGGAUAAUGAGAGCAACCAAGGAUAAAAGCUGAGACAGUAGCAAUAGCAAGAGCAAGGCAAGGGAGACUAAGGCAAAACUAGAUGACGAAGGGGUUAACAAUUACAU
Populus euphratica (Euphrates poplar) is the source of this 152-nucleotide long non-coding RNA. RefSeq lists it as uncharacterized. The transcript has 2 exons. The record is from RefSeq and is a predicted model, not a curated record. Lineage: Eukaryota; Viridiplantae; Streptophyta; Magnoliopsida; Malpighiales; Salicaceae.